GACGAACGCUGGCGGCAGGCUUAACACAUGCAAGUCGAACGAGUGGAGGACGGGUGAGUAAUGCUUGGGAAUCUGGCUUCUGGAGGGGGAUAACGACGGGAAACUGUCGCUAAUAACGCGUACCAUAGGAAGAGUCCAAGUGGGAUUAGGUGGUUGGUGGGGGAAGGGCCGAACAAGCUGACGAGCUCUAGCUGUUCUGUGAGGAUGACCAGCCACACCGGAACUGAGAGACGGCCCUGACUCCGACGUGAGGCAGCAGUGGGGAAUAUUGCGAAAUGGGGGCAACCCUGACGCAGCCAUGCAGCGUGAAUGAAGAAGGCCUUCGGGUUGUAAAGUUCUUUAGGUAUUGAGGCGUUAAAUACAGAAGAAGCACCGGCUAACUCCGUGCCAGCAGCCGCGGUAAUUC
Molecule: ribosomal RNA, 406 nt
Filed under: uncultured bacterium
Lineage: Bacteria
Description: partial 16S ribosomal RNA
Rfam family: Bacterial small subunit ribosomal RNA
Source: RNAcentral